UGGAAGCCGUCCUUUGCCCCCGUUGA
This 26-nucleotide non-coding RNA is filed under the name Mus musculus (house mouse). The record is from RNAcentral. Lineage: Eukaryota; Metazoa; Chordata; Mammalia; Rodentia; Muridae.